AGUGAACGCUGGCGGUAGGCCUAACACAUGCAAGUCGAACGGCAGCACAGUAAGAGCUUGCUCUUACGGGUGGCGAGUGGCGGACGGGUGAGGAAUACAUCGGAAUCUACUUUUUCGUGGGGGAUAACGUAGGGAAACUUACGCUAAUACCGCAUACGACCUACGGGUGAAAGCAGGGGAUCUUCGGACCUUGCGCGAUUGAAUGAGCCGAUGUCGGAUUAGCUAGUUGGCGGGGUAAAGGCCCGCCAAGGCGACGAUCCGUAGCUGGUCUGAGAGGAUGAUCAGCCACACUGGAACUGAGACACGGUCCAGACUCCUACGGGAGGCAGCAGUGGGGAAUAUUGGACAAUGGGCGCAAGCCUGAUCCAGCCAUACCGCGUGGGUGAAGAAGGCCUUCGGGUUGUAAAGCCCUUUUGUUGGGAAAGAAAAGCAGCGGGUUAAUACCCCGCUGUUCUGACGGUACCCAAAGAAUAAGCACCGGCUAACUUCGUG
This 492-nucleotide ribosomal RNA is filed under the name uncultured bacterium. RNAcentral's name for it is "partial 16S ribosomal RNA". It matches the Rfam family "Bacterial small subunit ribosomal RNA", at positions 29 to 507 of the family's 1533-position model. The record is from RNAcentral.